UGCCUGCCUCGGCCUCCCAAAGUGCUGGGAUUACAGGCAGGAGCCACUGUGCCUGGACAGGUCCCAAUCUAUAAUCGAAUGAAAUCAUCUUCUUUUAAUCAUCCCUCCACCAUCUUUUGGAUGGUCCAAUACCUCUUCAAGAGCUUUCAUUUUACUGUUCCGAGAAAAAGGGCUGAACCUAUAGUGGAUGCUAAAUAUUAAUGGGAAAAUAGAGGGAUCCAUUAGGAGAAUCUUGGGCUGUUUGGCAUCAUCGCUCACUGGAACUGGGGACAACUUCUUAGAUCUCUGUUACAUAGGACAUUUCAAGAUAAGGUAAUGUUUACAUGAUCUAAAAUAUGACUAUGUUUUAGAAGUAGAGACAAACAGUUCACCAAAACCAUGGCUAAAAAUGAUUAAGAACUUGUCAGUCCUCCUCAGGGGUCCUCUCUUUGCAGAAGCACAGAGACCACAGAGGCAAGAGCUGGGGAAGGAAAACUGCCUAAGAGAUGAGAUAUGCCUCUCAGCUUCCAAAAUGGGGGAGGUAAGAGGGAUUCUGGACAAAAUGAAACCCUGCACCCACAAGGAGUCCAGCAGACAGUUGUAGACACCAAGCAGACACCCUCGUAAUCUAAAAGUAGGGUCCAGACAGCAAGUUUCUGGCCCAUCCCCCACUCUGCUAAUGCUGACCUGGACCUAAAAUUAAGCCAGUCAGCCCUAUCUUGAGAUAACAGAGGGAGAAAAUCCUCCCUCCAUUUGACUCUCUAGGGUUGCAAAGAGAUGACACCAUCCACACCAGAACUGCAUGAAUGGCAUCAGGGAUGAUCAGAGACCAUAAAUUCCAGUGAGACCAAUAACACCAUUUCUGGUCCUGCAUGCUCUUCCAAACUUUGCCACUAACCCCUUCAAGAGAUGCCCCCCAUGGAAUCUAGCCAUCAUGCUGUGAGGAAUCCAAGCAGCUACAUAGAAAGGCCACAACUAGAUAUUCCAGCUGUAGUCAGCUGAAGCUCCAGCCAACAACUAACAUCAACCACCACGCGUGGAAACGAGCAAGCCUUCAGAUGAUUCCAACUCCCAACCUUCAAGCCACCUCAGCUGAAGCCAAGUAGAGCAGAGACUAGCUGUCCCCCAAUGCUCUAAUAUGCAGAUUCAUAAUUAAAAAGAAUGUUAUUGUUCUAA
This is an RNA transcript of Nomascus leucogenys (northern white-cheeked gibbon), 1155 nucleotides long. RefSeq lists it as uncharacterized. The transcript is spliced from 2 exons. The record is from RefSeq and is a predicted model, not a curated record. NCBI's taxonomy places the organism in Eukaryota, Metazoa, Chordata, Mammalia, Primates, Hylobatidae.